RNAcentral lists this ribosomal RNA (377 nucleotides) under uncultured organism. Its description in RNAcentral is "partial 16S ribosomal RNA". It matches the Rfam family "Bacterial small subunit ribosomal RNA", at positions 527 to 897 of the family's 1533-position model. The record is from RNAcentral.
GUAGGUGGCAAGCGUUGUCCGGGAAUUAUUGGGGCGUAAAGCGCGCGCAGGCGGUUCCUUUAAGUCUGAUGUGAAAGCCCACGGGCUCAACCGUGGAGGGUCAUUGGAAACUGGAGAACUUGAGUACAGAAGAGGAAAGCGGAAUUCCACGUGUAGCGGUGAAAUGCGUAGAGAUGUGGAGGAACACCAGUGGCGAAGGCGGCUUUCUGGUCUGUAACUGACGCUGAGGCGCGAAGGCGUGGGGAGCAAACAGGAUUAGAUACCCUGGUAGUCCACGCCGUAAACGAUGAGUGCUAAGUGUUAGGGGGUUUCCGCCCCUUAGUGCUGCAGCUAACGCAUUAAGCACUCCGCCUGGGGAGUACGGCCGCAAAGGCUGA